GAACCAACCAGUGACCAGCAGCUCCUCUCUCACAGCUCUGCUGUAGCUGAGACCCAGGAUCAGGAAGGAAGCCAGCAUGGAGACUCAGGAUCAGCUAGUAAUGCGGAGCCAGAGAGGAGACACCACAAAGACACAAGUCAGAGUAACAGUGUAGACAACUCUCCUUUGUCAGAGACUCACUGGGACACUCACACAGGUAAAAAGACUGUAAAAUGUGGCAUCUGUGGAAAAGCUUUUAGGUUUAAGUGUUUAUUGAAAAAACAUCUGAGAAUUCACACAGGCGAGAGGCCAUAUUCUUGUGAAAGAUGUGGGAAGAGUUUCAAACGUCGAGAUCACUUGUCUAGUCAUGUGAGAACCCACACAAUUGAGAAGAGCCCUCACAGUAACGGCGUAGACACGUCCCCCCUGUCAGAGACUCACUGUGACACACUCACAGGUAAAAAGCCUUUCAAAUGUGACACCUGUGGAAAAGCUUUUAGGUGGAAGUCUCAAUUGAAUAGACACCUGACAGUCCACUCAGAGGACCGUCCACAUUCUUGUAACACUUGUGGGAAAAAAUUUAAGCAGACAUCAGAAUUAAAUGCUCAUUUAAGACUGCACACAGGUGAGAAACCAUAUUCUUGUGAAACAUGUGGUAUGGGUUUCAAACGUAGUCACCAUUUGUCUCGUCACAUGAGACACCACACAGGUGAGAAGCCAUAUUUAUGCAACACCUGUGGGAAAAGAUUCACUGAGAGAGGCACUUUGAAUGAUCAUUUAAGAAUCCACACAGGUGAGAAGCCAUUUGUCUGUAACACCUGUGGGAAAAGAUACAGUGAGAAGUCAUCUUUCAGAAAGCACAUGAGACAGCACAUGGGUGAGAAUCCACAUGUCUGAACAUCUGUGGGAACAGACUCAGAGUACCAUCUUUGAAGAGUUGUGUGAGUUUAUGCUAAAGAACUGACUGUUCCUCGCUGGACAAACUGGCAGAUACAGAGACAUCUUACAUGAAAUGUUGUGAAGAUGUCAUGUAAUCCUAUGACUUUCUGGAGUACCAGCAAACCCUGUUUUAGCAAGGUUAAUAAAGUUUUCUGUGAAAACAAAAGUGCUGCUUUUAAAAAAUGGAGACCAGGUCCUGUAUAACAUUUCCAAAAGCAGUGCAACAAGCAGAAAGUGUAUAGAUACACAGAAGAGAAGUGAAACUAGAGAACAACUAAAGAAGACAAAUAUCUGUAUUUGUGUUUAUCAUGCUGUACUGAGGACUGUCAUACAUUGUGCCAAAAUAGUUAAGAAGGUUUUUAUUAUUUAAGUUUAGUAUAUCAGUGCCCAGUGUUUAUUUUAUGCCUCCGCACCAGCGACAGUAGAUGUCAUUGUGAGUCUGUUUUUCUAACAGGAGCAAAUGGUGUAUUAGUUUGGGGCUGUUUUCAGCUGUGGCUUUUGGCUCCCUAUUUUAUUUGUGGGAGUGUCUUAAAAUAGAUUCCAGCACCCAUGUUUGCUGAUGUGUUUUUUGGACACCAAAGGUCUAUAAAACUUGAGAAGAAUAAUCUACUAUAUAUGUGUAUAUAUAUCAUGUUUUGGCUACAAGGUAAUAGUUGUACUUGAUGAUACAACUAAAGUAAGGAUGCUUUUAAAAAGGGGUUAAGUGCACUUGUGAUGACUAUAAAAAUCCAUCAUCCAUGGAGUUCUAAAUCUACAAUUCACCAUGGCAAUGGGUAAAUAAAGAGCAGAGCUGCUGUUUUAAUCCUGUGCAGGUUAUUAGUGUGUGAUAAUGCACAUUUAUCUUUAAAAUACAGAGCAGCGGCAGUGAAAGAGCCUGAAUUGGCAAAGAGAGUGAAAACACUGUUACAUUUUAUUCGGCCUGGUCCUCUCAUUCAUUUGUUUAGAAGACUUUGAUUUCUUUGACCUAGUGUUAACCUCUGUUUUAGUUCAUCCAAACAGAGAAAAUGAACAUGUGAAGGGGGAAAAGAAGGAAGUAUGGUGGGAUAAGAAGCCAGCAAGUAAUGCCACCAAUAUGAAUAGUCACACGAUCCCGAUAUUUAUCUUUGUCACUGUCAUGUGUGACACAAAACAGGUUGAAGGAAUUUGUUGACAGCAUGUGAACUCAAUGAAAAUAAGAUGGCUCCAAGUUGACCAGCUGAUAGAAGGAUGUCUAUUUACACAUCUUGGCCUUAAUGGACAGGGGCCGUUGCACAUGAGUACUGUAAUGUUUCAUUCUUAACUAAAAUCUGAGUAAUUUGUAUUUUUACUGCAAUUUUGAAGGCAGGGGAAAUGUUAUAUGCCAGUGUUAUGUAAUGUUUUUACAAAAUGACUGGAAAUUAGAUCCGGAGGACAUCAAUUAAAUGCGUUAGUCCAAAGGAAAAAUUUCCCUGCUUAUUAAGUUCUUAGAGCGCAGGGUUACCCAAGAUAUAAGGUGAACAGACUGGGGUUAUUUUGGUGUGGUAGUAGAUAGGGGCCGGUCUGAUCCACACUCCAGUCUGGAAGGUGGCGGUAAUGCACCUAAAGCUGGUUGCCAACCGCCAUUAAAACCAAAAAACAGAAGAAUAAACGCUUUCCUGUAAUACCAAGCGACACAGACCUACAAUCACAGCUGAAGACGGAACUUAAAUCUGACUCCCUUUCGCCGCCGGAGCUUCAGAGUGCGACAUCUGGCGGAAGUAAACUUGCCAGUAAUGUUAGUUUAAUUGAUGUGUGGCAGAUAAACAUUUCUCUUCUAUCAAAUCAACAAUGUCUUUAGUUCAGUAUCUGAGAGAGUUCGUCACCGAGCGACUAACUGCUGCUGCUGAAGAAAUAUUCGGAGUCUUUGAGAAAACUGUCGUCGAGUACGAGGAAGAGAUCGAUCGUCAGCGCAGACUGUUGGAUAUCGUUUGGAAACCAGAAGUAAAGCUACACAGAAUAGAGCUGCCACAGCAACAUGUCUGUCAGGAGGAGGAGGUUC
Monopterus albus (swamp eel) is the source of this 2914-nucleotide long non-coding RNA. RefSeq lists it as uncharacterized. The record is from RefSeq and is a predicted model, not a curated record. NCBI's taxonomy places the organism in Eukaryota, Metazoa, Chordata, Actinopteri, Synbranchiformes, Synbranchidae. The transcript is spliced from 3 exons.